This 254-nucleotide ribosomal RNA is filed under the name uncultured bacterium. RNAcentral describes it as "partial 16S ribosomal RNA". It matches the Rfam family "Bacterial small subunit ribosomal RNA", at positions 524 to 776 of the family's 1533-position model. The record is from RNAcentral.
UACGUAGGGCGCAAGCGUUAUCCGGAAUUAUUGGGCGUAAAGAGCUCGUAGGCGGUCUGUCGCGUCGAUCGUGAAAACUUGGGGCUUAACCCUGAGCUUGCGGUCGAUACGGGCAUGACUGGAGUUCGGGAGAGGAAUGUGGAAUUUCAGGUGUAGCGGUGAAAUGCGUAGAUAUCUGGAGGAACACCGGUGGCGAAGGCGGCAUUCUGGACCGAAACUGACGCUGAGGCGCGAAAGCCAGGGGAGCAAACGGG